GUACGGAUUCUGGGCGUAAGCGUGCGUAGGCGGUUAUUAAGUCAGAUGUGAAAGCCCCGGGCUUAACCUGGGAACUGCAUUUGAUACUGGGUAACUAGAGUUUAAUAGAGGAGAGUGGAAUUUCAGGUGUAGCGGUGAAAUGCGUAGAGAUCUGAAGGAACACCAGUGGCGAAGGCGACUCUCUGGAUUAAAACUGACGCUGAGGUACGAAAGCGUGGGUAGCAAACAGGAUUAGAUACCCUGGUAGUCCACGCCGUAAACGAUGUCAACUAGCCGUUGGGCCUUUAUACAGGUUUAGUGGCGCAGCUAACGCAUUAAGUUGACCGCCUGGGGAGUACGGCCGCAAGGUUAAAACUCAAAUGAAUUGACGGGGGCCCGCACAAGCGGUGGAGCAUGUGGUUUAAUUCGAUGCAACGCGAAGAACCUUACCUACCCUUGACAUCCAUAGAAUCA
RNAcentral lists this ribosomal RNA (453 nucleotides) under uncultured Gammaproteobacteria bacterium. RNAcentral describes it as "bacterial SSU rRNA". It matches the Rfam family "Bacterial small subunit ribosomal RNA", at positions 543 to 998 of the family's 1533-position model. Lineage: Bacteria; Pseudomonadati; Pseudomonadota; Gammaproteobacteria. The record is from RNAcentral.